UGGGGAAUAUUGGACAAUGGGCGAAAGCCUGAUCCAGCCAUGCCGCGUGUGUGAAGAAGGUCUUCGGAUUGUAAAGCACUUUAAGUUGGGAGGAAGGGCAUUAACCUAAUACGUUAGUGUUUUGACGUUACCGACAGAAUAAGCACCGGCUAACUCUGUGCCAGCAGCCGCGGUAAUACAGAGGGUGCAAGCGGUAAUCGGAAUUACUGGGCGUAAAGCGCGCGUAGGUGGUUUGUUAAGUUGGAUGUGAAAUCCCCGGGCUCAACCUGGGAACUGCAUUCAAAACUGACUGACUAGAGUAUGGUAGAGGGUGGUGGAAUUUCCUGUGUAGCGGUGAAAUGCGUAGAUAUAGGAAGGAACACCAGUGGCGAAGGCGACCACCUAGACUAAUACUGACACUGAGGUGCGAAAGCGUGGUGAGCAAACA
This 427-nucleotide ribosomal RNA is filed under the name uncultured bacterium. RNAcentral describes it as "partial 16S ribosomal RNA". It matches the Rfam family "Bacterial small subunit ribosomal RNA", at positions 355 to 774 of the family's 1533-position model. The record is from RNAcentral.